RNAcentral lists this transfer RNA (73 nucleotides) under Candidatus Jordarchaeia archaeon. RNAcentral describes it as "tRNA-Thr". It matches the Rfam family "tRNA". From Rfam's summary of the family: Transfer RNA (tRNA) molecules are approximately 80 nucleotides in length. The record is from RNAcentral. Lineage: Archaea; Promethearchaeati; Candidatus Jordarchaeia.
GCCGCCGUAGCUCAGCCGGCAGAGCGGCGGACUUGUAAUCCGCGGGUCGGGGGUUCGAAUCCCCCCGGCGGCU